AUGUCCGGCGUCUUUUACGCUACCUCAAAGGGACUCUUGAUCAUGGCCUCUCUAUCACUCCUUCCCCCAACCACUCUCACAGCGUACUCUGAUGUAGACUGGGCAGGAUGUCCGGACACUCGUCGAUCCACUUCGGGAUACUGCGUGUACUUGGGUGAUAACUUGAUUUCAUGGUCGUCCAAAUGGCACCUUACUGUUUCUAGGUCGUCGGCGGAGGCUGAAUACCGCUCGGUUGCCCAUACUAUCGCUGAAACAGUGUGGCUUCGUCAGCUUCUACACGAGCUUCACCGCCCUCUUCAUCAUGCAACAAUUGUCUACUGUGACAAUAUAUCUGCCGUGUACCUCUCAUGUAAUCCUGUGCAGCAUCGUAGAACUAAGCAUAUCGAGAUAGACAUCCACUUUGUACGAGAGAAAGUAGCGUUAGGUGAUGUUCGUGUUUUGCACGUUCCUACCAGCGCUCAAUUUGCUGACAUCUUCAACAAAGGCCUGCCGGCGGCACCCUUCAUUGACAUUCAUGCCAGUCUCAACGUCGUCGAGCCCGCCGUUGACACUGAGGGGGGGUGUUAG
RNAcentral lists this ribosomal RNA (567 nucleotides) under Triticum aestivum (bread wheat). RNAcentral describes it as "partial small subunit ribosomal RNA". The record is from RNAcentral. Lineage: Eukaryota; Viridiplantae; Streptophyta; Magnoliopsida; Poales; Poaceae.